Molecule: ribosomal RNA, 238 nt
Filed under: uncultured bacterium
Lineage: Bacteria
Description: partial 16S ribosomal RNA
Rfam family: Bacterial small subunit ribosomal RNA
Source: RNAcentral
GACGAACGCUGGCGGCGUGCUUAACACAUGCAAGUCGAACGAUGAACCACUUCGGUGGGGAUUAGUGGCGAACGGGUGAGUAACACGUGGGCAAUCUGCCCUGCACUCUGGGACAAGCCCUGGAAACGGGGUCUAAUACCGGAUAAUACUCCCGCACUCAUGUGUGGGGUUAAAAGCUCCGGCGGUGCAGGAUGAGCCCGCGGCCUAUCAGCUUGUUGGUGAGGUAAUGGCUCACCAA